This 1532-nucleotide long non-coding RNA is filed under the name Macaca fascicularis (crab-eating macaque). Its description in RNAcentral is "lncRNA (ENSMFAG00000058746.1)". The record is from RNAcentral. Lineage: Eukaryota; Metazoa; Chordata; Mammalia; Primates; Cercopithecidae.
CUGCAAGCUUUGCCUCCCAGGUUCACACCAUUCUCCUGACUCAGCCUCCCAAGUAGCUGGGACUACAAGUGCCCGCCACCACGUCCGGCUAAUUUUUUGUAUUUUUGGUAGAGACGGGAUUUCACUGUGUUAGCCAGGAUGGUCUCAAUCUCUUGAUGUCGUGAUCUGCCCGCCUCGGCCUCCAAAAGUGCUGGAAUUACAGGCGUGAGCCACCGCGCCCAGCCUUUUAUGACUUUUAAAACAAUCUAUUCCAUUGAGGAAUCCUUAUAUGAUUACACAUAUCAUGGUUAUUAACUAAUGGGAUCCCUCACCAAGUUUCCCACAACACAUACUGUCUAAUCUUACACUUGGAAGAGACAGCCAAUCACCGACAAUGCAUUUUCUCCUUUCAUAAUGUAGAAUUGUCACUGAGAAGUGGCUUCCAACAAAGGACUACAUCUUCCAGACCCCUUUGCAGGGUAGAUGUGAUUGUUUUCAUGGGUUUUGGACCAUGGCAUGUGAGGCCCUCCUAAGCUUGGCCUUCCUGUGUCUCCUUACUCCAUGUUCUUUUCCCUUUCCAUCAGCUGGUGACAACCUGCUGGAAUGGCCAUAACCCUCCAUCCCCCAGGCAACCUCAGAAGUCACAUGUUGUAAAUGGCAGGGCCUCUGAAAUGACUGUGGAGUCUGGGCACUGGUUGUUUAUUAUAGCAAGAGAUCUGUAGAAUGUGUAAUUGGGUAUGCCAAGACAGGAUUACAAAUUCAUUUUCACAGAAGGUAAAGCAAAGUGACCAGACCUAUCAGAAUUUGGGGGUCAAUGGACACAAGCAGGAUUCUUUCCUCAGUCGCUUAUGUAGAUGGCCAAUUCAUGAUCUUAAUUUAGUACACUUUAACUUCUUAAAAAGCAUGACAUAUGCACCACAACCUGCAUUUUAUAGCUGAUGAAAAAGAUAAGAAUAUUAACUAUACCACCCCCCUCCACCCAGCUUGAGUUGUUCUAGAAAUAAAGCUUUAUGCUUAGGAGACAGCAUCAGUUAAACCUCAUAAAAAUCUCAUUGACAGCAUCAUCAAUCCCUUAUGGUUGGAAAGAGCAAAGUAAGAUGCUCAGAAGUGGGAACUGAAGAUGCUAACUCUAGGACCUAUUGCCAUGUCUGUGGCAUUUUCAUUUCCAUUGCUUUGGUACCGUGAUAGGCUUAGAGUUUAGUAAAUCAGAAACUGACCCCAGGCAUCUAGCAAUUGUUCUUUAUUGAAAAACACUUUCAGGAAAAUCCAAGGAAAUACAGAAGCAAGGCAGCACCAUAGUCUUCCCAGCCGAGAUGGAAGUGCCUCUGGUUUCUCCAGCAAUUCCCACUGGAGUUAUCAUGACUCAAGAGUCUGUUGCAAUCAGUUGUAGAAAGGCGCAGAGUGACAGUUGGAAUGCAAAGAAAUGUGCACAACCCAGAGCUCUCUCAGCUUUGCCAAAACUCAAGUGCCCCCAUGGGAGGGUCUUGCAACAUAUGUUCUGUUGAGCAAAGAGGUUGCAAACCAAGCAGUUAUUGCAAUAAACACCACUUGUG